UACGAAGGGGGCUAGCGUUGCUCGGAAUCACUGGGCGUAAAGGGGGCGUAGGCGGGUCUUUAAGUCAGGGGGGAAAUCCUGGAGCUCAACUCCAGAACUGCCUUUGAUACUGAAGAUCUUGAGUUCGGGAGAGGUGAGUGGAACUGCGAGUGUAGAGGUGAAAUUCGUAGAUAUUCGCAAGAACACCAGUGGCGAAGGCGGCUCACUGGCCCGAUACUGACGCUGAGGCACGAAAGCGUGGGGAGCAAACAGG
This 253-nucleotide ribosomal RNA is filed under the name uncultured bacterium. RNAcentral describes it as "partial 16S ribosomal RNA". It matches the Rfam family "Bacterial small subunit ribosomal RNA", at positions 524 to 776 of the family's 1533-position model. The record is from RNAcentral.